UGGGCAUGGAUUAGUCAGGAGCUAGAAAGGGCUUAUAAAAACCUGACAUGAAAAUGCUUUGCUUUGCGUGCAUUUUUAUAGCAUGAGACUACACAUGGAGAGCUGUUAUGCCACUGGCUGCUAAGCAGAAGCAGGGAAAAACCAUGAAAUAUAUUUUGGGAAAAAGAAGGGACUUCAAAGGAGAUGUCCUCCCUGUGCUGAAGAAUGUCUCCUGGCUCUGGGGAAGCUGGACAGGUGCCACUUGCAGACUCUUGUGAUAAUGCUGUUCCAGCCUUUCGUUGUUUGCUUUCCCUUUGUUUUCACUUCAUGUUGCUUUUAGAGCUGGUUCCCCUGUUCCUCCUGCAGGACCCUGGAGCCUUCGUCGGGACCGUCCCUCACCCGCUCUCUGCAGAACUGCUGCUGCCAGCCGUUUCUCCAAAAUUUCCUUUCCAGAAACCAGGGCAGGGAGCGAGGGAAGCCAGUCCUCAAUGACAACAUCAAGGAGAGGUACAGGAGGACUGCGCAUGAAAUACAUUUGUUGCCUGAAGCUGUUGGAGUUUAAAAAAGAGGAUGUCAAUGAGAAAAGGAACAAUGGAAUUGAAAAUCCCUUGGUAAUGACUGCACUCAUACUCCUUGCCCCCAGCCUGUGGAGAAGUUUGGCUGCAGACGCAGAUGCACAUUGUUCACUUGGCAGCGUCACUCCUGCGCCUGGUUCCAUCAACAAUUUUCUCCAACCAUAGAGAGCCUUGGAAAGACAUUCACCAGUGUCUGUGGUGCCUCUGGGGAGCCCCUUGGAAGACAAGAAAAAAAGCCUCAAGAUACUGUAUGUCAGUCUAUCUCUCACUAUAAUUAUCUUUAUUGAUUGGGGAGUCAUUUGCAUUUCCAUAUCUCUGAGUUUCCUGUUAGUGCUACUGUUUAGAUGUGUUCAUGGAUCAGAUUUCAAGAGAUUUCAUCCCAGAAAAAAAGCCUUGUUAUGUAUGAACCAUAUGCAAAUUUCAAAAGAGAGGUGAUGGGGCUUUAUGGCAAGAAAUAGCACCAGGAAUCGUUUCACCUGUGGAAGGAGAAUAGAGGAAGCAGCCAUGUCAGCAAAGCCAUUUUUCACAGCAUCCCCAAUACACAGUAAUGCCCUGCACAGAUUUCCUCUGUUUAGUAGAGCCCAGAAUGUACUCAGAAUAAAGAACAGAAAUGCAUAAGGACACAAAGCCACCAAACCAGAAAUUCUUCUUCCCUGUGGGUUUGCAAUGUGUCCUGGGGGGACAGCUCCUCUGACAGACAGGUGUACAGAAAUAUCUGCUUAACUGGGGUUUGGAAACGGUUGAGAAUGGCUCCUCAGAGCAUGCUCUCCCCUAAAUACUUCCUUCUGCUGGCAGAAAUGCUGUUUGUUGGCUUUCUGGUUACCCCUGGUCUGUAGCUCCACACGUGUUCUGCCACUUGGUGGUGGCAGAACUUAACCCCAGCCCCUCAGAGCCACACAGGACACUGUGGCCCUGGGUCACCUUUCCAGGGAAGGGGCAUUUGCCUCUUUGUUGGUGUACACUGACUGAGUGUGGGGAAGAAAAAGACUGCAGUGGCAAAACUACCUUUUCAUGCUAAAAGGUGUGCAAUGAUGCUGCCUGGAGCAGGAUUUCAGGUGCAGCGUUCACAGUAACCAACUGGUAACUGUUUCCCCUGCAGGAAUUCUGAUUGCAGACUUGCACUGGUUCUCACUGGUGCCCAGCUGGUGGAGAGGCAAGUGGGAAAGAGCAGGAGCGUUCUGCAUCCCACCUGCUGCACCUUCCUGUGUCCUUCAGUGCCAGCACAGCUGGGGCCAGAUGUGACACUGGCACCACAGCAGAGCACUGCUUCACUGCACAGACCGGGAACAUCCCAGUGCCCAGGGCUCAGACCAGCCCAUGUCCCAGCCCAGCAGUCGGGGCUGCAGGUAUUGCUGUGAACAGUCGCUUGCCGCCCUCUAACCACCCUUACACACAGCCUGCUCAGUCCCAUCCUGACUAGAUGCAGGAUCUGUGCUCUAAAAUGGAUGUUUUUCACAUUAAAGAGCUGUGGAAACAUUUUAUUUCCCAUUUGUGGCCCUUUUGCAAACAGCAGAGAAUCCACUCUUUCCUCCAGAAGAUUUGUGUCCAAGGGAGCUCCCAGGCUGACAUAAAGCUGCCCAUACUUUCAAGAGGCCUCUCUGGUAAGCUCUUAUUUCUUGGAUUCCUUCCCAAAAUGAGGCAGAAUCACUUAUGGGAAGCGGUGAACAGGAGUGAUAUGAAGCACUGAGAAAAUCUUCCCGUUUCAGCAGGGGCACGAGUGUCAUGUCUCUACAGAAAUAUCAAUUAUAUUUCCUGUACAGCUAAUGAGAUAGCAGUUGGCAAACACUAGCAGGUAAACAGUCAAACACAGCCUAGCACAUAGUUUGGGCUUUUUGAAUUAAAUUUUCCCAUUAUUAAAGUGUCUCUGAGCACUGCAGCCGCUGGCAUGCUCACAUAAAGAGCCCAUAAUAAUCAAUGGAGUGAAGUGAAAUGCUUGAGGGAGCCCCUUCCUCUCCUAGUCCAUGGCUGAACCAGCCCCAGCACUGCGGUGCUGUGGGGCUCAGCACCUCCCACAGAUCAUCACCACCCAACUGGCCACUGGAGCUGCAAGCAUCAUUCCCCAAGCCCCUUUUAAUCCUGUUUCGGUUCCUCAGUUUUGACUAUCUCAUGUUACUACAUCCAGUUAAACCACCAUUUCACCAGUUUAAAGCACAACGUCCCCACACCAGCACCAUGCCCCACAGCCAGCAGAGGAGAUACUUCAUGUUGUGCCUUGUCUGUUUGCCUCCAGCCACAGGCUGGCAGAUACUCUGUAUGAAUAUAUUCAGGCUAAUUCCAAAAAACUCCAGCAUUUAGACAUCUUUAUCCUGUAGGGGUUACAAAGCUGCACAGUUUUCAGCUGCAUUUCACACAAUCUGCAGGGAAAUGGGGGUCCUCCUUGCACCCAGCCUGCAGUUCUGGGUGCAAGGAGGUGGUUGUUCUGGGUGCAAGUUCUGGGUGCUCUCAGGUGCUGUGGCUUUGACAUGGGAUAAGAGACCCCAGGGCAUCCACAGCAUGUUUUUGGGUAGCACCAGUUACCUGCAAGCAGGGUCCUGCUUUCCAGGUGAGGAAAUGGAGGCACAAGCCCACCAACUUGACUUCUCCAGGAUCACUCCUCCCUCUUAAAGAAAGCAGUUUUCUUCCCCCCAGCACGUGUAUUUUACUUCAUCAGAGCUUCCUUUGCUCAUUUUUACUGCUCUGUUCUUUUUGGUGAAUAUGAGAGCAUAUCUGAUUCAGCAUUAUUAUUAAUCCCAUAUGUAGCUUAUGAAGGGAGGAAAAAGCAGUAAUUACAUGCAGUCAUAAGUUAAAAGAAUUGAAUGUGUGUUUCUUACUUGCCUAAUAUCUGGCAAACGCCUCAUGUUUACUCAGUCAUCUGCCGCUGAUCUGGCUGAAUUGGAAGGUUUUUCUAACCUGCUGUGUGCUCCUUUUGUCCCGGCCAUGGACACGUAGGGGUUUGCGGGAUGCCCUUUGUCUCCCAGCAUUUUCUAUACUCAAAGAGACAGUGGCCAGAGCCAGCACCCACAUGUGCACAUGGGGACACAUGUGCAUUCCCCAGUGCAGCUGGUUUUCCUAACUGACACUGCUAGAAACAGAUUUCAGACUCAGAUCUAAAAAAAAACCCUAACUUCUAUAUGAAAACAAAAGCUAAUGAAAAAACUAAGGAUUUGUCACAGGCUGCUGGGAAAGGGGUGGCUGGUGGGCUGCUGGAGUGGGGUAGAGCAGGAGAAACAGGGAUCAAUCACCAGCAUCAGGUACCACACAGAGAAUCAGAGAGGGGCUUCCAUGCUGUAGGAUGGAAGAAGCAAUGUGAAUGGCUGGAAAAGCCUACAAAAGUUCAGAAUGGCAAAAGGAACUGUCAAAACCAAACAAAUAAACAAAAAUAAAAAGCAAAGCAAAUACCUGAAGGGCAGCACACUACAAAGACACAGAGGGUGAGCAUCUUCAGGAAUGUGAUGGCUCUAGAGGUGACCCAGCAUCACAGUGUGUCAUAGUCCAGCACCUGGCAGGAGAGGGCAAGAACCCCAGAGCCCUACAGCCUGGUCAUGGCUGGGACAGCUGGAUCCCUCCCAAUUUAUUGAUCCCACCAGCAUCUACCUUCCAAAGGCUGCAGGGGGCUGGUUCCUGCAAUCACAGCUGGAGCCCAGCACAGGUGAAGCCUAUCAAAGGGUGAGGCCAUCAGGCAUAUAAGGGCUUUGGGUAAAUUUUGUAGGGUUUGGUCUUGUAGGUAAAGAACAAUUGUGUGGUUUUAGUUCAGGCUUCUUCUGAAACAGAAAGUAAUUCUUGCAUUUUGGGAAAUGCUGGUGUGUGGUUCUGUUAGCAGGGGAUGGUAUACAGCUUGAUCUAAAGAGUGAAGUGUCUGCUCCUUGCUUUUAAGAGCUCCUUUUUGGUGGCUGUUUAAUGAGACCGUUUUGGAAAAGUACUUCUUCAAUGAGAGUAAGGUGCUUUGUCCAGCUGUAGUAAAGGAUGAUUCUGGGUCACAGAACCUGCACACAGAUGCACAAGAGACUGUGGAGGAGCAGUAUGAUGUUAUCACACCACCUCAAAUGUCCAAGAGCUGCGUGUCUGCUGCCUGCUUCAUCCUCUCCAGCGGGUGCCAGUUCUUCAAGUAGUUUUUAUAUGACAGUGCUUCCUAAAAAAUUUAAGAAGCAGAACGCGUGAAGAGUUUGGCUGACGAGGAUGACUAUUUCAUCCAUCAAAUCAGGAUCUUUUAAACACUAAUGCUGAAUUUAUAGAAGUGGUUAAACGAGGUGUUGACUAUAUGGACAAUGUCUUUCUGAUUAACACUGCAAUUUAAAGUGAAACUGCUGGCUGCCAGGAGUUACUACCACAGAGCAGCAUUUUUCCAGAGCCCGUGGGCUGGAGCUCGGUGUGGCAGCAGGAGCAGAUGUCAGCCACCACACACUGUGCUCACCAAGGACUGACUGUGGUCAGGGCUGCUCCCCAGCAGCUUUGCUCUUCCCCCACAGUGAUCAUCUGUACUUUGCUCUGCCCCAUUCAUUGCCCUGGUUGGGUGUGUGUGUUGGUUAUGAGCAGUGAAACCUUUUCCUGCUGCUCCCCAGAGAAAGGGGACAGUGAGGAUGAGCAUCCUUCCCAGCCCCUUGGGAGAUGUUCUCUCCCUGCCUGUUCCACGCAGGGCAGUGUGCUGGCAGCAGCCCCCAGCAUGGACCCGGCUCUGCCACUGUGGUGCUGCUGUGGGUCUGAGGGUGCUGCCAUGGGUUGGACAGUGCUGCUGUGGCUCUGCUGGAGCUGAGCUGCACCCUCCGGGCACAAGCAUCCAGCCCAGCAUGAGCGUGGGUGGGUGGAGGAGCGGGGAGGGGACUGAACAGCCGGUCCCUUUAUCUUUGAAGGACAGCAAAGCAGAUUAAUUUUUUUUUUUUUUUUUUUUUCCCCACCUCUUAAUAUGUGACACAAAAAAGGAGGAGUUGUACAAAGGAAAUGGCAACGGCAACAAAAGGGAGAAGGAGAGAGGGGAGUGCAAGGGGAGCCGAGCCAUCGCUGCGGGAUCUGACAGAGGCAGUGUGAUCACAGUGACAUAAGAAGCAUCACUUCUACCUGAAAUCUCCUUUGAGAGCACUCGCAGGACCAGGAGCUUUGAUUCCCUCCUUUCCUCUGCUCCCCUCAUUAAUCGCCUUUGGUUGCAAUACUGAACUUCUGAAAUUCAACAGCUACUAAAAUAUCAAGUAUUUAGGGCUAGGAAAACCUUGUGGAGUGGGAGGUUUUGCAAAAUGUUUUGGCUUCUCUGAAUUCAGAGCUGCCCUUGGAAUUUGAGAGUUUUCUUCCUCUGGUUUUACAUCUGCUAGGUGUGCUUCUUGUUCAAGGGGGAUUCUGUUUUGGAAAACAAUUAUGUGUCUUCCCCACGAGCAGGGUAGGACUAGAAGAGCCAGGUGAGCCCAGGCAGGCCUGGGACAGCAGGUCACCCAGGCAAACACCACAUUUCCCGGCAGCACAGGCAGCACCCAGCUCACCUGCACAGCAUCCCCAGCAGCUCCAGCACGGCUCCCUGGCACUGCCUCUCCUUCAUGAGAUGUGUCUCUGCGCGAAUUAGAUCAAAAUUAAUCUCCAUUGAACUAUGCUAAUGUAAGUCCCACUGUUUAUCCCCCUGCUGAUUUUCAGCAAGGGCAUUCAGUCAGAAUCUCUCUCACCAGUAUAAACCUCACUUGCAGUGAUGGAGCUGUGGUCACCAGAACACUAAAUCUUGGGUGCCUGAGCUGCUUGGGACUUGCUAAAACCAGGAUCAUCCCAAGGUAAGAUCAGUGAAGGGGAUGAUUUCCAGGCUUGAGAUAAAAUACAAUUGCUUUUAUACUGGCACUCAAAGCUUGAAGUAAAGCCAGGCUGACCCGUGUCUGAGCUCCCUUUUCUCAGCCUCUGCUCAGCCCUCCUGCAGACCUCCUCCUCAGCCAUCCACCCCCAAAACGGCUCAGCCCCUGGCUGGCCUUGUUUAAGAGUCAACUUCAAUAGUACCUUUGUUAAGGGUGAACUCUCAUUAAAUGUGAGGUAAGAGGAAAUGAAAAAGUGUAAAAUAUCCAGAUUUAUUACCUGUUGUCUUCUGAACAUUUGAAAAUCAGGAGCUGGGGCAAGGGGGUGAGUGGUACCAAAGUUGUAAGACUGAGCCCUCCCACCACCGUGUGUGCUGCCGUCUGCUCUGAGGACAUUGCUUGCUCAUAGCGCUGUUUUAUCAAAAGAAAACAAACCAAGUUUUGUGCUUUUUGAGAUAUAAAAGUGAAUUGAUCUUAAUGCAUCAGGCUGCUGGCUCUGAGCUCCAUUACCCUGUGCACAUGCAGGUGGGGAUGUUUAUUUGCUGAAUUCAGAAAUCUUUCUCAGCUCAAAGGGAGAGAUUUUCCAGGAUAGGUACUGCCUGCUUUUUUUUUUCCUGUUUCAAAGGUGAACAGAAAGGCAAACCCACUAAAUUACCGUGUUGGCUUUAUUAACACUACUAAUAAAGGAGAAACCUGUGGGGUCAGAGGCAAGAGAGUGAGACCCUCUGCUCUGGGGCAUCACAUCCAUGGUGCCCCCGACCUGCUUGUUCCCUUUCAGUAUGAAAAAAGGGUUCCAGGGCUAAAAAAAGGCAGAUUGCAGGAAUCAUAAACCCUAAUAAAACAGUUCUGCUCUCUGAACAACUACAGUGACCCUUGUGUGCUGGAUGGAGCACCGUGAGCAGUGCAUCUCCUGGGGCUGAGCGACGCUGUGGGCUGAGCCCCGGCAGCUGCCGGCACGGGGGCUCUGUGCUUGCCCCUGCUUGGAAGGAGCGUGUUCUACCAGGGUGGUGAAAUGCCCAGAUGCCCGAUCUGGGCCCCAUGGGACCCAAGGUUUGCUCACCUAACGCUGUUUGUGUUUGUACGAGCCCUUGCACAUCUGUGAGUGCUCAAUUCUUACGUCGUGCAAAUCCCAGGCAUCCCAUGCUGGGAGCAGCCAGCUGCGAACACUU
This is a long non-coding RNA of Columba livia (rock pigeon), 7458 nucleotides long. RefSeq lists it as uncharacterized. Lineage: Eukaryota; Metazoa; Chordata; Aves; Columbiformes; Columbidae. The record is from RefSeq and is a predicted model, not a curated record. The transcript is spliced from 7 exons.